This 81-nucleotide non-coding RNA is filed under the name human gut metagenome. RNAcentral describes it as "Glycine riboswitch". It matches the Rfam family "Glycine riboswitch aptamer", at positions 9 to 86 of the family's 94-position model. Rfam says of the family: This family represents the bacterial glycine riboswitch. Glycine riboswitches usually consist of two metabolite-binding aptamers domains with similar structures in tandem. The record is from RNAcentral.
AAACUCUGGAGAAUCUCUUAAAUGAGUGCCGAAGGUGCAAGGUCCGUAAGGACCGAAACUCUCAGGCAAAAGGACAGAGGC